This is an RNA transcript of Dreissena polymorpha, 2325 nucleotides long. It is a transcript of the gene named crystallin J1A-like, with no coding region annotated. NCBI's taxonomy places the organism in Eukaryota, Metazoa, Mollusca, Bivalvia, Myida, Dreissenidae. The record is from RefSeq and is a predicted model, not a curated record. The transcript is spliced from 8 exons.
CCGGGUUAUUAGUAAACACAUUCGUCAGUGUACUCCAGUUCAAACAACUGAGUCGACAAAUUGUUAUAGUUAUCACAUGAGCUUGCAGAAUGCCUCUUAAAUGAUGGCAGUAGUUGUUCAACGCAGGGUCGCCGCGGUGGUGGGCGCGCUGGUGGCCGACGCUGCAGCCCAACCCCUGCACUGGAUCUACAAUCUGGAGAAGCUGCACGCGCUCGUAGGCACGCGCGAGGACGUCGCCUUUUGGGACCCCUCCGCCAACCCAUUCUACACGCUGCCGUGCGGAGCGCUGAGUGGAUAUGGCGACCAGGCGUUCACCAUCCUGAAAUCACUCGUCGAUAGCAACGGUUUCGAUCCUGAGAACUUGAAGAAAUCUACGUUGGAAUGUUUCGGACCAAACAGCAAAUACGAAAAUCCAGUCAACGCUGUUUAUAAGGACAAAGCAGACAUCGCCAAAAAGAACGCCAAGUACCCGAUAGACGGCCCGUGGCGUCACGCCAGCAUCAAGGAGUUCCUGAGAAACUUCGCAGAGGGGAAAGAAGUCACGGGUGCCAUUGACGACGAGCAGAUCGACUGCGCCCUACGCGUUGUUCCAGUGGUGGCGCUGUACGCCGGCAGACCGGAAAUGCUCUCCGUCGCGGAGCAAGUAAUCCGCCAGACGCAGAACAAUGACCUCGCGGUUGCCGUGGGUCUCACUGCUUCCAGACUUCUAGAGUACUACAUUCUUCACGGCCCGAGCGAUGACGCAAUUGAUGACGUCAUCAGACAGCUGUCCACAGCGGGGCGCUCCAACCCCCAGGAACUUGACACGGCGAUGGUGGCGUUCUUAAGAGAAGUCGUGAGAAAGAAGAACGUGCCACAUCUCCAGGCAACGAAAGACUUCACGAACAACUGACAUUUGCCGAAGUCUUUCCAAUCGACGGUGCACGGCAUGCUGACCGGAAGUAGCUACAAGACGGCUGUGGAAGGCACCUUCCGCGCCGGGGGCUGUAACGCCUCUCGUAGUGGCUUCAUUGGCGCAUGCCUGGCUGCGCAGCACGGAUUGGAAAGCAUACCGCAAUCAUGGAAGGACAAGACUCUGCGAUAUCAAGAGAUCAUCGACUUGGCAAAUAGACUGGCCACCAUCCAGCUUUUAUAACUCCAACCACAAUACACUGAAUAACGACAUUUCCUUAAUAAGUUGUAAUUUAUGUGGCCAAUAGACUGGCCACCAUCCAGCUUUUAUAACUCCAUAAGCAGAAUAAAGACAUUUCGUUACCAACAGAUAACCAAUAUUGCCAAAAGAAAGGCAACCAACCAGCUUUCAUAACUGCAACACCAAUUGAGUCAUUCCUUUCCAAUAGCAAUAGGGUGCAGGAUCAACGGGGUUCACAGGGGUUUACACACAGGGGCCUGACAGUAUGAAAACACACCGUUAAGAACUUUAUUUUUGCAAAUAUCUCAAGUUAUUGAAAUAUUUUUGAAAAAUUCUUUUGAGCAUAAAAGGCAGUUUUUCUUGCAGUCUUUGUCGAUAUCUUAAGAUUUAAGAAUACAUUGUUGAAUACGUCUGAAAUCGGUGCCAAGAUUUCAGGUUGCGUGCAGCAAAACCUUGUAGAUGAAUGUAAACAUCGAAUUUACGGAAAAGAACACAGGCUUUUUAAUAAAGUAACGUGUAUGCUUUUUUGACAUUGCCGCAAGCCUCAUAAACAUGUCUUUAAUGCACUAGUUGAAAUUCUUCAGAAAAAAUUGUGUUAAAAAUUUACUUGAAUAAAUGCGCCGCUUACCGUUGUGUUUACAUCCUCCAUCAUCCGUUUCUGAACCCCAUAAAGUCAUGAUCCUGCACCCUGGUACAUCAACCUUAUUAUUGGUCUAGUCAUCACAUCUUUUUCAUAAAACAUGAACAGUUGUUAAUAGUGUGAUCGUUUGUUUGUUUUCUGUUGAUGUAUUUAUUAUAAUGCAAAUUGUAGUAGUGUGGUUUGGUUGUGAUAAUCCAUUAUGUAUUUACUAUUUACAUGUAUGUUCAAAGAUACCGUUUCGAAUAUAUGAACGUAAUAACAGUCUCUGGUAAUAACAUAUGCAUAUCAUUUUCAAUGGAGAUAUUGUGAUGUUUAUAUGCUGGUUCACAUUAAAAUUGAUAUCGAAUUAUGCACGUUGGUUGCUUUGAAAUGAGAUCAGUAAAUGUAGUUUGACAUUAAUGAUUAAUCACGCUGAUAAGCCUAUCUGGCUGGCGUGUUUAUGAUGAAUCCGUCUUUUACGUUUACUAAUCUUAACUUAAAUGAACAGCGUGUUUCAGCAAGUAUUAUGCAUUUCGUACGAUUUUUUAAAAUAAAGAUGUAACAUUUGUUAUUA